Cornus florida is the source of this 2507-nucleotide RNA transcript. It is a transcript of the gene named ATP-dependent DNA helicase Q-like 1, with no coding region annotated. The transcript is spliced from 11 exons. The record is from RefSeq and is a predicted model, not a curated record. Lineage: Eukaryota; Viridiplantae; Streptophyta; Magnoliopsida; Cornales; Cornaceae.
UCACGUGGAUAAAAGCGCGGGAAGUUCAUCUAAGGGGUGAGGGAUACAAUCAGGGAGAAGAAAUGGGCGAUGAGGAUCUGGAGAUAGAGAAAGCAAGGUUACUUAGCUUGGCCCUCGAUUUCGGAUUCGACGAAGAAUCUUCCAAGAAGUGCUUGGAUCGUCUUGUUCAUCUAUACGGCGACGAUGGACGGGAUUUUAUCACUGUGGAGCACUGUGGUGAUGAUUUUCUUGCGGCGCUGGCUGAAUCGAUGCAAGGAAGUGAGGAUUGGGAUGAUUUACAAGCCAUGGAGUCAGAGGCUUGUGGAACUUUGGCUGACAUGUUUGACAAGAAUCUUCCCAACAAUUAUGUACCUUAUAAUGACAAAAAUGCAAAUAGCUAUGUCCAUGUUAUAGAAGACUCACCGGAGUCCCAGAAGCAUCCAGGUUUCACGCUGUUGGAUUCUUCAAGUGACAGUGAAGACUUGGAUAUCGCCCCCUCCUCCUGUCCUGAUAGGAGCAAUCAUGCCGUCUCACAAAGUUCACAUAAACAUCAUACAAUGCCAAUGGAUUCUAAGAGCAGCAGCAUCACUCAAGCUUCAGUUCCAUCCAGAUCCAAUAAAAUGACAUGCUCCAGAACUUCAAAAGAUGGAAAUGGAACUUUUAGUUAUGAAGAGUUACAGGCAUUGGAUGACAUUGAGUUGGCGAAUGUAGUAAUAUUCGGGAACCGGAACUUUCGGCCUUUGCAGCAUCAAGCUUGUAAAGCAUCUGUGGCAAAGCAGGAUAGCUUUAUUCUUAUGCCCACGGGAGGUGGUAAAAGUUUAUGUUACCAGCUUCCAGCUACUCUGCAACCAGGUGUUACAGUGGUAAUAUCCCCCCUCCUUUCACUCAUCCAGGAUCAGAUAAUAACACUGAACCUCAAAUUCGGAAUACCAGCAACUUUUUUAAAUUCUCAACAAACUACUUCACAAGCAGCUGCAGUCCUGCAAGAGUUAAGGCAAGAUAAACCAUCAUGCAAGCUUUUGUAUGUAACUCCUGAAAGGAUUGUUGGGAAUUUAUCAUUUCAUGAAGUUCUAAAAUGCCUGCAUCGGAAGGGACAACUAGCAGGAUUUGUUGUUGAUGAAGCACACUGCGUUAGCCAAUGGGGACAUGAUUUUCGUCCAGAUUAUAGGGGUCUAGGAAGUCUAAAGCAGAAUUUUCCAGAUGUUCCUGUGAUGGCUUUGACGGCCACUGCAACCAAGCCAGUUCGUGAGGACAUCAUAAAUGCUUUAAGGAUCCCACAUGCUCUUGUCCUUGAGACAAGCUUUGAUAGACCCAACUUAAAGUAUGAAGUGAUUGAGAAGACCAAGGAACCCCUAAAGCAGCUCGGAAAACUACUGAAUGAUCGUUUCAAGAAUUCGUGUGGAAUUGUGUACUGCCUUUCAAAAAGUGAAUGUGUAGAGGUCUCAAAGUUUUUGAAUGAGAAAUGUAAAAUUAAAACAGUAUAUUACCAUGCUGGUUUAGCAGCUCGGCAGAGGGUUUCCGUUCAAAACAAAUGGCACACAGGAGAGGUCCAUGUUGUGUGCGCUACUAUUGCUUUUGGGAUGGGGAUAGACAAACCUGAUGUUCGUUUUGUUGUCCACAAUACAUUGUCCAAAUCAAUUGAAAGCUAUUAUCAAGAAUCUGGAAGGGCAGGAAGAGAUAAUCUUCCAGCCUUGUGUGUUGCUCUAUACCAGAAGAAGGAUUUCAGUCGGGUUGUAUGCAUGUUACGAAGCGGGCAAGGAUACAAAAACGAAAGCUUUAAGACAGCCAUGGCUCAAGCUCGGAAAAUGCAACAGUACUGUGAACUUAAGGCUGAAUGUCGUAGACAAACAUUGCUUGAACACUUUGGAGAAUCAUUUGACCGAAAUGCCUGUAAAUAUGGUGCUAAUCCUUGUGACAACUGUCUCAAGGCUUCCUCCUGAAAGAGGCAUCUCUAAUUCUGGCUGAGGUAUAAUACAAAAAGGGUAGACACGUCAUCUCCCUAGGGUGCCUGAGCUCAUUCUUCUUUACGGUAUGCCUCACAUUUAUCGACCCCCUAGGUGCCAUACUGGCUGGAAGAAUAAGGAUUUAUCUUCUGUCGCCUGGCAUGCAAAGGCUUUUUAAGUGGCCUAUAUCAAUUGUCCAUGAAGAGGUGAGUCCUUUCUUCUUUGAUGAACUGUUGGCACCAGUCUUACAUUUUGUCUUUAUGCACCAAGGAGAAAGGGGGGCUCCACAAGAAGAGGAUUGUACCAUGAGACAAACAAGUUGCCAACCUCAUUCAAAUAUGCAAAUGCAAUGUAGUUGAACUCUCAUGUUCUAAUGCUAUGUAGUUGAACUCUCAUGUUCUAAUGCUAUGUAGUUGAACUCUCAUGUUCUGAUCAAGUUUGCCAUACAUUUCAAGUUAGAAAUUGCUUUAAAUUCCAAGCAUUUCACUCCAUUGAACUGUAUAUGUGUAUGACUGACUUAGCUUUCAUUUGAAAAGUUCAAGGAAGGGUUCUUGAACAGCCUUCGGACCAUUUGGCCAAUAUAAU